Molecule: ribosomal RNA, 326 nt
Filed under: uncultured eukaryote
Lineage: Eukaryota
Description: partial 18S ribosomal RNA
Rfam family: Eukaryotic small subunit ribosomal RNA
Source: RNAcentral
CCCUUCGAUGUUCGGAGCUGCACGCGCGCUACACUGUGGGUGGCAGCAUGUUAGCUUGCCUCGCUCGCAAGAGUGGGGUAAUCGUUUGAAAAUCCCACGUGAUUGGGAUAGGGACUUGUAAUUAUUUCCCUUGAACGAGGAAUCCCUAGUAAGUGCAGGUCAUCAGCUUGCGCUGAUUACGUCCCUGCCCUUUGUACACACCGCCCGUCGCACCUACCGAUUGAAUGGUCCGGUGAAAUCUCCGGACUGGCGUGAGUCGGAGCAAUCUGACAAACACCGGAAAGUUGAUUAAACCUUACCAUUUAGAGGAAGGUGAAGUCGUAACA